GCUUUUGUACACACCGCCCGUCGCUACUACCGAUUGAAUGAUUUAGUGAGGUCUUCGGACUGGUACACGGCAUCGACUCUGUCGUUGCCGAUGCUACCGGAAAGAUGACCAAACUUGAUCAUUUAGAGGAAGUAAAAGUCGUAACAAGGUUUCUGUAGGUGAACCUGCGGAAGGAUCAUUA
This 181-nucleotide ribosomal RNA is filed under the name Omocestus bolivari. Its description in RNAcentral is "partial 18S ribosomal RNA". It matches the Rfam family "Eukaryotic small subunit ribosomal RNA", at positions 1656 to 1831 of the family's 1831-position model. The record is from RNAcentral. Lineage: Eukaryota; Metazoa; Arthropoda; Insecta; Orthoptera; Acrididae.